Molecule: ribosomal RNA, 302 nt
Filed under: uncultured soil bacterium
Lineage: Bacteria
Description: bacterial SSU rRNA
Rfam family: Bacterial small subunit ribosomal RNA
Source: RNAcentral
AGAUUGAACGCUGGCGGCAUGCCUUACACAUGCAAGUCGAACGGCAGCACGGGAGCAAUCCUGGUGGCGAGUGGCGAACGGGUGAGUAAUACAUCGGAACGUGCCCAAUCGUGGGGGAUAACGCAGCGAAAGCUGUGCUAAUACCGCAUAAGAUCUACGGAUGAAAGCAGGGGAUCGCAAGACCUUGCGCGAAUGGAGCGGCGAGUGGCAGAUUAGGUAGUUGGUAGAGGUAAAGCUACACCAAGCCUUAGAUCUGUAGCUGGUCUGAGAGGACCACCAGCCCACGACGUGGGACUGACGAC